Long non-coding RNA from Hemicordylus capensis (graceful crag lizard), 1626 nucleotides. RefSeq lists it as uncharacterized. The transcript has 3 exons. Lineage: Eukaryota; Metazoa; Chordata; Lepidosauria; Squamata; Cordylidae. The record is from RefSeq and is a predicted model, not a curated record.
AGAAGCACCAUGGUGAUUGGGCAGUGGGGAUUCCAUAUGCAGAUAGGGAGGAGGUGCCUGUGGCACUGUGGUGAUUGGGCAGUGGGGAGUCCAUAUACAGAUAAGGAGGAGGAGCCUGUGAUGGUUAAAGUCAGUUGGAAUGCAACUGUUACUGGUCGGAAGAUGUUCUUGAUUGUAGAGGAGAGGAAUCUCUCUCUAUAUAAAAGGAUAGCAGGCAGGGGUCUGCAAAAAGACGGGUUGUGAGGGAGGAAAGAGCACCUUCAGGAGAAGGAGGCUGCCGUUGUGUGAAUUAGAUGAGGAAACAAGAUGAACAAGAGCUGUUAACUCAGGGAGGGAGAGAGAGAGAUAGAACAUGAAGUGGGGGUGGGAAGAGUGGGGAAGAGCGAAAGAGAGAAAAAGAAGGGAGGGGGAAGAGAGACAGAAGGAAGGGUAAGGGACGGGCCCGAGCCUGUCAGCAGCCUGAGGGGAAUGAGCAGCCAUGGCAGCGCUGGCAGCAAGAAAGGGCCCAGUCAACCACUGCUGCUGUUUGGGGCUACCGAGGUCAUUGUCGGGAAGGUAGGCAGGCAGGCAAUGGACAGGCCCGGGCCUGUCAGUGGCCUAAGGGGAAUGAGUGGCCAUGGUGGUAGCAGCAGCAAGGAAUGGCCAGGUCAACCACUGCUGCUGCUCCUGGGGGAAGGAGCAGGGCUCGGGUGAGGAGGUCUCUGGGGAUAGGGGGCUGCAGCUUGGUCAAUAGGCGGCAGCAAUGCUGUAGCCACGACCAAGAAGGGUCAGGGGGAUGGAAGCAACGGGAUGGAGGAGGAGAAGGAGUGCAGCUCAGGUGCGGGUGGGGAGAUCUCUGAGGUGAGGGGAGCAAUCAAGUACUAACGUGCAGAUGCUCUAGAGUGCGCAAGAGUUCCAGCAUUGAAGUGAAGAGAAAUAAUGGUGGUGGCCAGGAGGCAGAGGUGGAGGGCCAGUUGGGGUGGCCUCUCCUUCUCACAACUGCCACUACAGAGCGGCCAGAGACCAUCUUGCUCCGAGGGCAGAAGAGAAGAAAGAAGUGAGCCCACUGCGUAACAAUCUAAACAUGUGGCUUAAUGUAUUCUUUAUUUAAGCUUUCUUGUUUCUAUGGGAGGUUCACCUGAAAAAAGUAUAUAAAUGCCAAACAUACAAAAUGUGUGUUAAUAAAACUGUUCUUGACAAAUAUUCUUUGGAUCUAGGAACCAGGCCAAAGAUUUAGGAGCCAGACAAUGAACACACUUGACAGAAUUACUGAAUUUAGUCUAGAGGGCCAAAAUUGGAUAAACUACAAACAGACUAACCUCAAAAACGUGGAGCGUCUUCCACAACCCAGGGGUGACAACUAAGGUGGCUUGAUCUCAUGUCACCACCAAAAGACGGACCCCUCCUGAUGAUCUUGAUGAGAAAGGCACUCUCUCAGGGCUGCAGAAAUCCACUAGUCUACUAGUCUGAUGAGUGAAAAAUGAUGCCCGAUGAGUGAAAAAAAGUCCAGAUGAGCAAUGUACCAACACAGCUCAACAAUUUUGUCUGGCUGAUAAACUGAGCCAACAUUUCUUCACCCCUGCUUAUUAAUAAUGUAUAGAUUUUAGGUUUUGUUUUAUUGAUUUAAAAAUAACUCACUUCACCAAC